RNAcentral lists this ribosomal RNA (443 nucleotides) under uncultured bacterium. Its description in RNAcentral is "SSU rRNA". It matches the Rfam family "Bacterial small subunit ribosomal RNA", at positions 26 to 518 of the family's 1533-position model. The record is from RNAcentral.
AGAGCGAACGCUGGCGGCAGGCCUAACACAUGCAAGUCGAGCGCCCCGCAAGGGGAGCGGCAGACGGGAGAGUAACACGUGGGAACGUACCCUUCAGUUCGGAACAACCCAGGGAAACUUGGGCUAAUACCGAAUACGUCCGUAAGGAGAAAGAUUUAUCGCUGAAGGAUCGGCCCGCGUCUGAUUAGCUUGUUGGUGAGGUAACGGCUCACCAAGGCGACGAUCAGUAGCUGGUCUGAGAGGAUGAUCAGCCUCACUGGGACUGAGACACGGCCCAGACUCCUACGGGAGGCAGCAGUGGGGAAUAUUGGACAAUGGGCGCAAGCCUGAUCCAGCCAUGCCGCGUGAGUGAUGAAGGCCCUAGGGUUGUAAAGCUCUUUUGUGCGGGAAGAUAAUGACGGUACCGCAAGAAUAAGCCCGGCUAACUUCGUGCCAGCAGCCGC